AAACUGAAGGGCAUGUGGCUAUUAAGGAAGAAUCAGGUGUUGACGCACUGACACACCACAGCGAGUGGAAUGCACUGACACACUGUUGAGGUUGAUCUGUUCCGAGAGGAGGAGCGUGGUGGGGGCAAGAGGGGCGGAGUCACCACAUAGACCCUGGGAGCCGGGUGAAAGCAGGCCUGAGGCAAGCAGCCUGCAGACUCGUUUAUUUCAGUUGGUACAGCAGCUUAUAUAGCCAAGGCAGCCAAUCCAGUCUAGGGACAGUCUAUGCCCUAACCAAUCACAGCCUGUUGCCAGGAAGUUUCUGAAGCCAUCCAAUCACAGACUGUUGUCAGUCAGGCUCCAUUGUCAUGUGGUUUCCGAAGCCAUCCAGUCACAGACUGUUGCCAGGCAGUUUCUGUUGCCAAUGGCCAUCUUGACAUGGCCUUCUCAUUCCACCACAACACACCCUGCAAAAGAUCAAGCUUGCAGAGGGCAGUUACUCCUGGUGAAACUGACAAGACGAAGAUUCACCUUCUAGCGCCGGGACCAGUGACCCACAAACCCGGGGCCACGUCUGGCCGAGCUCCCGGCUUCACAGACGGAGCUUUGCUGGACUGGAGAAACAUACACUUCUUUCCAUAUUGCCCGUGGCUGCUUCUCGUCUACAACGGCAGAAUUAAGUGGUUGCAACAGGCGCUGCAUGGCUGCAAAACCCCAAAUUCUGUCCCUUUAUCAAAGAGAUUUGCUUAUCCACGUUACAGUACCAGAAAUAUAGGAACAUCUUAUUUAAUGUUUGGAUUUUGGGUUUUUUGUUUGUUUGUUUUCUCACAGUUGGAUUCAUAAAUAUUUCAUUCAUUCACUCAUUCAACCAACAUCUACUGAACACCUGCCACAGGCCAGGUGCUUAUUUGGACACGGAUGGUGCAAGACCAGAAGUCAGACAGUUCUGGCCAUCGAGGACACAUGAGCCCUGGUCCCAGCUUCCCAUGAUUGAUAAGGAAGUCCCUGUGUGUGACUCUGGACAAGCUCCUUUACCCUGGGGACCCCAGCGCCCUCGCCUAUCACAGAGGACAAGCAUGAGCACUUCCAGAGUAGAGAGGGCGCAUGGCAGGUCGGGGGCGCCCGGAUUUGUUGGCAUCACUGGCUCUGGCUGGUCGGCCCAUCCUGGAACUGUCACUGUCACCAGAGUACGGUGUUCUCACUGGCCAGGUUGGGUCCUAUGGCAAGGCUGCAGGCAGAACCGGAGUCGGCAACCUCUCGGGCCACACAGAUUGGGAGGAAGAGGAGAAAGAAAAACUGGGGCUGUGGCAGAAAUCAGGUAAAUGGAGACCAACUGGGCAGCAAAAACGUUCUAGAAAGACCUGGUUCCCAGGCGACAUCAUCACCGUAGUAACUUCCCUUGAGCACCUAGGAACAAUGCCCAUGCCUAGUUUGGUUCUUUAUGAGUAUUCGUCGAAUGAAUCACUUCUUCAUUUUAUUUUUUAAAUAUUUAUUUAUUUGCCAGGUAGAGUGACUCAGAGAAAGGGAGACACACACGCACAGAGAAACAGAAAAAGUGAGAGCGAGAGCGAGAGAGAGAUCUUCCA
Oryctolagus cuniculus (rabbit) is the source of this 1565-nucleotide long non-coding RNA. The record is from Ensembl. NCBI's taxonomy places the organism in Eukaryota, Metazoa, Chordata, Mammalia, Lagomorpha, Leporidae.